AUGACCGCGGUCGGCCCGUCAGCCUCGGAGGUUUUGGACGUGAUCGGGGAGAUCAGGGUGUCGCUGCUCACCGACGAGCAGCUGAAGAACGGCAGCGAGAUCCGGCAGUGGUUCUCCGGGCGCCUGAGCGGGUUCCUGCCGUCGGCGUCGGGCAGGUUCCUGCGCUGCCUGAUCCACAGGAACCUCAGCUGCCACUCGUACCAGCACAUACUGCAGGUGUUUGUCCGCCAGUUCGACCACAUGACCUGGAAUCAGAAGCACGUGGUCGUGGCGGAGUUCGUCCUCCCUUUCCUGUCACGGCCUCGCUCAGGUCCCGGCUGUGUGAACGGCUCCGACAGCGCAGAGUGGCUCAAGACGAGUCUCGGUCCGUUUUCCAGGAUUUUGCCGCUCGGGGAGCUCCUGCGUCUCAACCCGCGAUUCAGCCCCCUGAAGGUCCUUCGACUCCUGACUCCGAAGCAGAGUGCCGAGCUGCUGCUGUCGACUCUUCCGGCGCUCCCAGGAAAAGAAGUGGUCAUCGACCGGUUGUUCGAUUCCCUGACGGAGGUUCGCGAGCAGGAGAAACUUCCAGAGUUCCUGUUCUUCCUCGUCAUGUUCCUUCCGCAGGGGAACCUGUCCUGCUCAGCAUACAAGACACUGUUUGACAGACUGGACGAGGCCAUGACCGAAGUUUCUCUCGAUGUGGCUUCAAAUAUCACCUACAGCAAGAUCGCCCUGUCCAGGCACAUACCACCAGGUGAGAGGCACCUUAUAUAA
This 753-nucleotide long non-coding RNA is filed under the name Scophthalmus maximus (turbot). Its description in RNAcentral is "lncRNA (ENSSMAG00000035713.1)". Lineage: Eukaryota; Metazoa; Chordata; Actinopteri; Pleuronectiformes; Scophthalmidae. The record is from RNAcentral.